UUUUGCACUGCUAUUUCCGGUGCUCAUGAUAUCAAACAACACAACCGAAAGUUGUUGUGCUGUACUGCUGUGCAUCAGCACGUAACAGAUAGAACAAAAGCUUGUGUUGUAACUCAACAAUUUGUUCUAUGUUGUUCUAAUGUACUGUCCCCUAAAUGGACUGGCCCUUCAUAAGAGUUUGCAUGCCAACAUUUCUCUGUUUUAAACCUAUAUCUUCAUGUAAUGCAAAAUCAGCUAUAACUCACAUGUCUUUUAUUUUUAUAAGAUAGCAUUUGGUAAUGUGUUAGAAUCAGAUGGAAUUUAACAUCUGAGUUCUAUUUUAUGUCUAGUACGUUUUAAAAACUAAAUAGAAAUAGAACAUGGGAUUAAAAAAUGGUACAUUUUCUUUCCACUUAAAAGGAUGAAACCAAGGAGAACCUAGAAUGUUCCAUUUUGUUCUGUCCACGAGCCAAAUGCUACUUAAGACUUUGUAGGAGGUGCGGGACUCACUAUUUCCCUAAUCUUUUCCUUUAUUUCUCCCCCACCAAACAAAGCAUAAGUUUUUCAGGUAUUAGAUAUUUCAAUGUGAGGAUGAGAAAUUUUAGGAGGCAAAGAUCGUGUGUAGAGGAUUCUAUACAAUUAUCAUAUGAUUAUAGAUCAGAUUCUACUUUCUGGGGACUGAUUUCUCCUUUUGAUGACAACAUGUAAUAGCAAUCAUAGUGAAAAUAAUUACGAGCGUAUUUGGAUGAUAACUUUUAACUGGGUAAUUCAUUUUAAUCAUGUAAUUGAAAUAUUUCAAGGUGAAAUUAUAGAUAAAUCAUUUAAAGAAAAAUUAAAUUCAGUUAUUUUAAUAAGGAAUUUUAUUCCAUAGCGAAUGCAUGAAUUGAAAUUCUUUGCAAAAAUGAGAGAAUUUUAAUUUCUGCUACUCCUCUCUACGGCCGGUCUCUUUCCUCUCUACGGUUGGUCUCAAUCACUCUAUACCUACACCUCACUUGCUUUCACUCAUUCCUCUCCACCCACACACUCUCCCUUGCGACCCUCGUUCUCACUCCCUCACAGUCACGAAAACCUUCAUUCAAAUCGUACACUCUCGGUGAUUAUUACCUCGUUCAGAUUGCAUACUCUCACGAUGGCUACGACCUCCGUUCUCGCUUGAUUCAGAUCGCACACUCUCUUCAUAAAAGGGAUAGAUCGUGAGAAUGUCUUUUGGCUUAUGUGGGGAUUACUUUUUUUUUUUAAUGCAGCUUUUCAAAAUAUAUCGAUGUCUUAGGUUGUAUUCUGAAAUCAGUAAUGUUUAAAUUAUUCUCAUUUUUAUAUUUUUAAUGACACUGAUGAUGAUAAAAUGUAAAGAAGGUAUUUUAUA
This is a long non-coding RNA of Glycine soja, 1342 nucleotides long. RefSeq lists it as uncharacterized. The record is from RefSeq and is a predicted model, not a curated record. The transcript has 2 exons. Lineage: Eukaryota; Viridiplantae; Streptophyta; Magnoliopsida; Fabales; Fabaceae.